This 1651-nucleotide long non-coding RNA is filed under the name Mus musculus (house mouse). Its description in RNAcentral is "predicted gene, 36041". The record is from RNAcentral. Lineage: Eukaryota; Metazoa; Chordata; Mammalia; Rodentia; Muridae.
UAGUAUCUAUCCCAAAGACCAGGGAGAAAGGAAGGAAAGAUUCUGGUUCUGUCCUCUUCCCCAAGGCAAGGCUGGCUGCCCUACCAACAGAGGCAAAGAGAAGAGUGUGCAAGGCUGGCUGCCCUCCCAACAGAGGCAAAGAGGAGUGUGUGUUGAAAUAUCCAUUGAAUCCCUGAGACAACUGGAUCCUGGCCCAUUGAAUCAUAAACUCAGCAGAAUCUCACAUCAUAACCCCAAAUGACCUGUUACUCACCAUGUGGCCCAGCUGUCUUCAAACUCACCAGCCUCCUGCCUUAGCCUUCUAAAUGCUUGGAUUACAGGCAUGACCCACCAUAACUGGCUUUGUUUUAGUUUCAGAGAAGAUGAAACUGAUGUGCGUCAAAAAGUAAACUACCCACAUUUUAACUGGGCACAUUCCUGUCAAUCUGAUGAGAAUCUAUUUCAUACCCUGCUUUAGCUGGUAGUCUGUCAAGGAAAUGAGCUGAACAUGUCUGUGUACAGCUUUUGUGCCAUCCCUGGAUGAGCGAGCUGUCUGCCUCUAUGUUCUCCACAAAAUGGAAUAUAGCUGUACACCCAAGCCAAGUUAUGGAGGCUGGGAAGACCUAGAAUGUGGCAUCACUAUUUGCUUCGACAAUUCUGUGGAGAUAAACUUUCAGUAGACGUGGAGCAGAUUAUCACAGUUGAAUUGUGCUGAGAGAAGAGCUGAAAUGACUAAGCUCACAGGAAAACUACCAAAGGGCGUUACUGAAUGUCCAGUUUACAGUCUCCAAAGGGGAGCUGCCUCUGCUGGUGGUGAUGCAUGGAACAUGGCUUUAUUGUGUGAACCUUGGAAAUGGACACCAGAGAGUCCUGGACUUGUAGUCGGUGUAGCAGAAGUUGAUCUGGGGCCGAGGUCUUAAGAUUUCUGAGGCUCAAGACAUGAGUAAUAGAUUGCUAGUCUUUCCAUGGAUGAGAACCGGCAAAAUCUCUAAGUGAGAAAUCACAUCAUCUAUAGUUCAAAGCAGAGUUCCUAUUCCAAUGAGAAAGAAUACUCAUCAGAAGGUCAAGGCAUGCAACCAACCAAUCCAUACGAUGUGUUCCAAUAUGCUCAACUCUGCUCUCAAUGUUUUGCAGCAUGUCAGAAUGUAAACUUAACAGCAACCUCUGAGGUGUUAAAUACAGACAAGUCAAAGUAGAUUAAAUCUAUUUCAACAUAAAGAUUUGAACAUGGCACUCUGCCCCGGAAAUGCAUGUGACCCCCUCAAUAUGCUGCCUUUGCUGCACAACUGUCUUUUUGUACUCUUGUAAUGUUGAUGGCUUGUGCAUCAUCAAAACCAAACAAACGUCUGUUGGACUGACAGACGAUUAAGAGUCAAUGUCUGAGUGGAGGAUAAAUGUGAGAAACUCCACUAGGAGGAGACAACCUUUCCUCCAUCAAAAAGACAGCGCUAAGAAUCCUUACCAUUGUAAUCUGGUCCAUAGAGAGAGCAGCAUCCUUUCCCUAACGAUUACCCAUUUCCUAUUAGCAAAUGACUCCUGUGAUGCUUCCCCAGCUAAAAUAGGACCCAAAUUGGCUAAGUACCAUAGACAAUAUGUGCAAUUCUGUUUUUAAAAAUCACCAGAAGUAAAAGGGUCCAUUCAAAUAAAUGGAACAAGAAUGUCCUGAGCCAAA